This is a long non-coding RNA of Cynara cardunculus var. scolymus (artichoke), 599 nucleotides long. RefSeq lists it as uncharacterized. The transcript has 3 exons. Lineage: Eukaryota; Viridiplantae; Streptophyta; Magnoliopsida; Asterales; Asteraceae. The record is from RefSeq and is a predicted model, not a curated record.
GAUGCAGGUUUACCAAGAAGAAGCCCUAGGUUAGUGAAAGAUGAGUAAAGAAGUGCUUGUAUCCAAGAAAAAAGAUUUUGUACGUUGAUGCGACACAUUCAUUAGACAGUCCUACAAUGAGACAGAGACCCGCAUUACUAGGAUGGACAGCGAUUUGUUGAAGACGAGGGAGUACGAGGAUAUCGAGAAAGGGGGAUUCGGUGAUUUUGAGAUCAGCCAAUCUUUUCAUGGUCCGAUGAAUUUGUUUUUCCAUGACGCUCAUGUAGACCAAUUUGCAAAUGGCCGCCCGCUGAUUGAUCUUGAUGCAGUUCUUCCCGACACCUAGCCAACUGAUGUUGAGGUUUUCUUUGCCAUUGUGGAAGCUGAACACUUUUACCUCUUGCGUUUUAACUUGAAGAGAGUGGCAUUUGUUGUAAUAGACAACAUGUCUGUUGACAUUUCAUCUGAAACCAAGUAUAGUGUUACUCCUUCAAUAUUGGUGAGUACCUAUCUAUUUAUAAGAACAUGAAUUUCUCGUAUUAGAUAGCUCAUGGUAACUUCUUUUUAUCUUUAAAUUGAUAAUCUAUUGUUCAUAUUAUGUUCAUACAUAUGAUCCAAUG